GUGCUCACUUUGGCAGUACAUAUACAAAAACUGGAAACAAGCCAGAGAAGAUUAGCAUGACCCCUGUGCAAGGAUGACAUCCCAGCUUAUAUCCCACAAUCCAUUUUA
Molecule: small nuclear RNA, 108 nt
Organism: Monodelphis domestica (gray short-tailed opossum)
Lineage: Eukaryota; Metazoa; Chordata; Mammalia; Didelphimorphia; Didelphidae
Source: Ensembl